ACCCCGGCUGGCUCUCCGAGUGCUACCUCUACUUUAAGUAGAAGUACUUUUACUAUGAAGUACUUUUGCUGAAGUAGAGGUAGCACUUGGAGAGCCGGCCGGGGUAGGGAGAUUUUUUUUAUUUUUUUUUUCAAU
RNAcentral lists this small RNA (135 nucleotides) under Paramuricea clavata. Lineage: Eukaryota; Metazoa; Cnidaria; Anthozoa; Malacalcyonacea; Plexauridae. The record is from RNAcentral.